This 276-nucleotide long non-coding RNA is filed under the name Mus spicilegus (steppe mouse). RNAcentral describes it as "lncRNA (ENSMSIG00000017007.1)". Lineage: Eukaryota; Metazoa; Chordata; Mammalia; Rodentia; Muridae. The record is from RNAcentral.
AAACUUUAUUUAAAUAAUGAUUGAAGCAAAGAAAUAUGUGCUAUAGGCAAUAGGCAAUUUUAAUAAAAUAUUUUAGACAAAAUGAAAAUAACCCAUAAAGAAUCUACACUAUGUUAAAAAUUUACACAAGGUGGUAAAAAUCAGGACUCCACACAGAGAAUGAGAAGGUACAAUCAACCUGGUGACCAAGUUGAAGAAAUUCACUAGAAUUAUCUUGCAAAUGGGCCACAGUGACCUCUUCAAGUGAACUGAAGAAUAAACUAAGUGAUAUUGUCA